UCUGGAAAAUAAUAUUUGAACUAUUGGGUGGUGAGGAAGGAGCUUUGCACACCUAAGAGACCAUAUAAGUUACUACCACAGUAGAACAUAAGUUCCUUGAGGGAAGACUGAAUGUAGAUUUUUGUAUCCAUCCCAAGUACCUGGAAUACCUCCUUAUACCUAAUUCAAAUGAAUUGAAUUUCAACAGCCAAUUUAUAAUAGUUAAUGAAUAAGAGAAAAGACCUCAGGACUAGGUAUUAUCAAGGAGUUAAAACCUCAUUCAUAAAUGCCAUAUGUAAUAAUUAAAAUAAAUAAUUAAAAUAAAUAUUUCUACCCCGAUAUAUAUAUUUUAUAAAGUUUAUUGGAAAGGUAGACAAACGUUCCUAAGAAACCUGACCACAUGGUGCUUAGCCUGCCAGUCUCUUCCUCAUUCCUUCCUCACCUGCCUGCUCUGUUUUUCCCUUUCAAUUCUUCUGCAGUUCUCUCCCAAGAAGCCCCCAGCCUUGACUUUUAUUGGCAUACAGAACGUACACAGACGCAACCCAGCAGCAGCUCUGCUAUGUCAGGAAUGUUUAAUAGACAGGUCAGACAUAGUGAAACUUGAGGACAGAUGCAGUAUUUACUACUAUAAUGCUAAACACAGUUUACAACCAGGAAAAGAAUAAACUAGAGGCUGUUAGAAUUGGCCCAUCUGUAGACAAAAAGGCAUGUCAGCUGAUGAAUGGGAAUGAGGAGCCACACAAACUCUCCACAAUAAUCCAAACUGGCAAACAGCUGGUAAACUCAAUAUGCUGAGGAAGAGCACAUCCUCCAAAUAAUCAACUCUACUACAAGCCCAGCUACCAUGACCAGCAUUGAGGGAAAUGAUCAUAAUAAAGGGGCAAGUUGUUAACUGCCUCUGAAAUAUUGCACCCCUCCCCUCUCUUCUUAGCUACUAAAGCUACUAAAGACUGGAAAAAAACAAAGUUUUUGCUACCAAGUUCUUUUUGUGCUGAACAAAUCAUUUACCAUCUAAAACAGAUAUAGUUUUACUACUAGAAAUGACAUAAAAUGAGCUAUAUUAUCAACAGCCUUGAAACGACACCCUAAGAACCAGUGGACUUUGUCAUCUAUCUUGCAACCAAAACCUCCUAUAUUUUCUAAAUUCCCAUAUUAAAUUAUGAAUUCUCCAAGCACAGGGAAUAUGUUAUUUUUCUACAUUUGUUUCAAGCACUUAACACAAUGCUACACACACAACUCUUAAUAAUUUUUUCAAUCAUUUAUUCACUCAUUGCUUCACAGUCUGACAAAAGGUUGUCAGCUCCAUCAACUUAUAUGCUGAAUUUCUUUUAAAUUUCUUUAUUUAGUCAAUUUAGAAUAUUAUUCCUUGGUUACAAUAAACACAUUGUUUACCUCCCUCCCCUACACCAACCCUUUCCACAGCCAACAGCAAUUUCAUUGGGCAUUAUUUAUAGACUAAGGCUCCAAUAACUUUUUGGACAGUCACAUUAUGCUCAUUACAUGCUGAAAUAUCACCUAAGCUAUCUCCCCCAUAUUGUAUUUGUGCAUCUGAUUUACUGAACCAAAGUGCAGAAUUUUCAUCUUGUUGCACUUUACUAUUAAAUAUGAGAAGAUCUUUCUUCGUUCUGAUCCUGUCAUCCAACACAUUGCCUUCACCCUUUUCAGCUUUCUGAAUAAAUCUGAAUGAAUGAUGAAACUGAAUCUGAAAAAUUUAAUAGCUACCCAUGCCUCUUCCAAAACUAAGGACAAUGAUAAACAAGCCAGGGCUAUGAAUAUAGCUAGGUGAAUACUAGAAAACACUCCCCUUCAGGCAACGCCCUUUCCACAAAAUCACUAUGGGUAUAAAUCUACCAAUAGCAUCUUUCCCAUAUUCCUCCACAAGAACAUUAGUACACAAACAAGUACCUUGCUGAAAUACAAAUACGUUUACGGUUGUUCCCCCAAACUAGUUAUUAUAUUAAAAAAUAAAAUGAGGCAAACUUAACCAAACCUUUCUUUUUUUAACCCAUGCUGGCUUCUCUUCAUUUGGCACUUAUUUUGAUAACACUAUAGACUUUUAGUUCUACUCUGAUGUGUAUUUUUUUCUAUUC
Non-coding RNA from Monodelphis domestica (gray short-tailed opossum), 2069 nucleotides. NCBI's taxonomy places the organism in Eukaryota, Metazoa, Chordata, Mammalia, Didelphimorphia, Didelphidae. The record is from RefSeq and is a predicted model, not a curated record.